CGGAGUUGCUAGUAAUCGCAAAUCAGAAUGUUGCGGUGAAUACGUUCCCGGGCCUUGUACACACCGCCCGUCACACCAUGAGAGUUGCCAACACCCGAAGUCCGUGAGCUAACCUUUUGGAGGCAGCGGCCGAAGGUGGGGGUAGCGAUUGGGGUGAAGUCGUAAC
RNAcentral lists this ribosomal RNA (166 nucleotides) under uncultured Clostridium sp. RNAcentral's name for it is "partial 16S ribosomal RNA". It matches the Rfam family "Bacterial small subunit ribosomal RNA", at positions 1327 to 1492 of the family's 1533-position model. Lineage: Bacteria; Bacillati; Bacillota; Clostridia; Eubacteriales; Clostridiaceae. The record is from RNAcentral.